UCCCUGGUGGCCUAGUGGUUAGGAUUUGGCACUUGCACUGCUACAGCCUAGGUUCAAACCCUGGUCUGGGAA
Molecule: transfer RNA, 72 nt
Filed under: Sus scrofa (pig)
Lineage: Eukaryota; Metazoa; Chordata; Mammalia; Artiodactyla; Suidae
Rfam family: tRNA
About the family: Transfer RNA (tRNA) molecules are approximately 80 nucleotides in length. Their secondary structure includes four short double-helical elements and three loops (D, anti-codon, and T loops).
Source: Rfam by way of RNAcentral